UACGUAUGGAGCAAGAGUUAUCCGGAUUUACUGGGUGUAAAGGGUGCGUAGGCGGCACAGCAAGUCAGAUGUGAAAGACCGGGGCUCAACCCCGGGGCUGCAUUUGAAACUGCCGAGCUUGAGUCCGGGAGAGGCAGGCGGAAUUCCUAGUGUAGCGGUGAAAUGCGUAGAUAUUAGGAGGAACACCAGUGGCGAAGGCGGCCUGCUGGACCGGAACUGACGCUGAGGCACGAAAGCGUGGGGAGCAAACAGG
Molecule: ribosomal RNA, 253 nt
Filed under: uncultured bacterium
Lineage: Bacteria
Description: partial 16S ribosomal RNA
Rfam family: Bacterial small subunit ribosomal RNA
Source: RNAcentral